This 151-nucleotide unclassified non-coding RNA is filed under the name uncultured Capnodium. Its description in RNAcentral is "sequence contains ITS1". The record is from RNAcentral. Lineage: Eukaryota; Fungi; Ascomycota; Dothideomycetes; Capnodiales; Capnodiaceae.
ACGAGUUAGGGCCUCCGUGCCCGACCUCCAACCCUCUUGUAUCACAACACCUCGUUGCCUCGGGGGUGGCCCUGCCUCGCGGCGGGCCCCCCGGAGGACCCCUCAAACACUGCAUUUUAAUGUCGUCUGAGUUAGAUUUUAAAUGAAAUCA